Molecule: ribosomal RNA, 460 nt
Filed under: uncultured bacterium
Lineage: Bacteria
Description: partial 16S ribosomal RNA
Rfam family: Bacterial small subunit ribosomal RNA
Source: RNAcentral
CCUACGGGAGGCAGCAGUGAGGAAUAUUGGUCAAUGGGCGAGAGCCUGAACCAGCCAAGUCGCGUGAAGGAAGAAGGAUCUAUGGUUUGUAAACUUCUUUUAUAUGGGACUAAAGGGAGGAACGCGUUUCUUUUUGGAUGUACCAUAUGAAUAAGCAUCGGCUAACUCCGUGCCAGCAGCCGCGGUAAUACGGAGGAUGCGAGCGUUAUCCGGAUUUAUUGGGUUUAAAGGGUGAGUAGGUGGUGAAUUAAGUCAGCGGUGAAGGUUUGUGGCUCAACCAUAGCAUUGCCGUUGAAACUGUUUGACUUGAGUAUAUUUGAGGUAGGCGGAAUGCGUGGUGUAGCGGUGAAAUGCAUAGAUAUCACGCAGAACUCCGAUUGCGAAGGCAGCUUACUAAACUAUAACUGACGCUGAAGCACGAAAGCGUGGGGAUCAAACAGGAUUAGAUACCCGAGUAGUC